GCGUAACGCGUAUGCAAUCUGCCUUUCACAGAGGGAUAGCCCAGAGAAAUUUGGAUUAAUACCUCAUAGCAUUAAGAGCCGGCAUCGGUUUUUAAUUAAAGUCACAACGGUGAAAGAUGAGCAUGCGUCCCAUUAGCUAGUUGGUAAGGUAACGGCUUACCAAGGCAACGAUGGGUAGGGGUCCUGAGAGGGAGAUCCCCCACACUGGUACUGAGACACGGACCAGACUCCUACGGGAGGCAGCAGUGAGGAAUAUUGGUCAAUGGGCGCAAGCCUGAACCAGCCAUGCCGCGUGCAGGAUGACGGUCCUAUGGAUUGUAAACUGCUUUUGUACGGGAAGAAACACUCCCUCGUGAGGGAGCUUGACGGUACCGUAAGAAUAAGGAUCGGCUAACUCCGUGCCAGCAGCCGCGGUAAUACGGAGGAUCCAAGCGUUAUCCGGAAUCAUUGGGUUUAAAGGGUCCGUAGGCGGUCUUGUAAGUCAGUGGUGAAAGCCCAUCGCUCAACGGUGGAACGGCCAUUGAUACUGCAGGACUUGAAUUAUUGGGAAGCAACUAGAAUAUGUAGUGUAGCGGUGAAAUGCUUAGAGAUUACAUGGAAUACCAAUUGCGAAGGCAGGUUGCUACCAAUGGAUUGACGCGUGGGGAGCAAACAGGAUUAGAUA
RNAcentral lists this ribosomal RNA (664 nucleotides) under Flavobacterium sp. EECC-161. RNAcentral's name for it is "bacterial SSU rRNA". It matches the Rfam family "Bacterial small subunit ribosomal RNA", at positions 108 to 784 of the family's 1533-position model. The record is from RNAcentral. Lineage: Bacteria; Pseudomonadati; Bacteroidota; Flavobacteriia; Flavobacteriales; Flavobacteriaceae.